CAGCCGCCACGGUAAUACGUAGGGUGCGAGCGUUAAUCGGAAUUACUGGGCGUAAAGCGUGCGCAGGCGGUUAUAUAAGACAGAUGUGAAAUCCCCGGGCUCAACCUGGGAACUGCAUUUGUGACUGGCAAGCUAGAGUGUGGCAGAGGGGGGUGGAAUUCCGCGUGUAGCAGUGAAAUGCGUAGUUAUGCGGAGGAACACCGAUGGCGAAGGCAGCCCCCUGGGCCAAUACUGACGCUCAUGCACGAAAGCGUGGGGAGCAAACAGGAUUAGAGACCCCCGUAGUCCCUGUCUCUUAUAA
This 301-nucleotide ribosomal RNA is filed under the name uncultured bacterium. Its description in RNAcentral is "partial 16S ribosomal RNA". It matches the Rfam family "Bacterial small subunit ribosomal RNA", at positions 509 to 809 of the family's 1533-position model. The record is from RNAcentral.